This 615-nucleotide unclassified non-coding RNA is filed under the name Borreliella garinii. RNAcentral's name for it is "partial 16S-23S ribosomal RNA intergenic spacer". Lineage: Bacteria; Pseudomonadati; Spirochaetota; Spirochaetia; Spirochaetales; Borreliaceae. The record is from RNAcentral.
AUUGCUAUAUGGUUAUUGUCGGUUUUGAUUAUGAGGUGUUGAGCCAGCCCUAGCGAGGAGUUCAAUCUUCAUUUUUUAUUAUCGAUGCAUAAUGGUAUAGCCCUAGAUAAGACUGCAAGCGAUAAGUCAGCGGAAGAUGAGAAGGUCUAAAGUCAUUGUUCUAAUCUAUAAGAGAGUAAGGUAUUUGAGGUAUGUUUAGUGUGGGGUUAAAGGCUCAGUAAGGCAGCUGUAUUAUAAAAUAUGGUUGUUUUUAAGAUAAAGAUAAAUUAAGAUGAAUUUCAUUAAUUCUUCUCUGUAUUUUUAUUUUGAUGAAAAUUUUUUUAAGUCAAAGUAAAUUUUUAGUUUAAACUUUAGAAAAAAUAAAUCUUUGGUAAGUAUUUAGUGUUAUAUAGUUUAGUAUUGAAUUAGGCGUUGUUAAUAGUAGAUCAUAAUUUUAAUUUUGAAGUGAAAAGCUUUUAUAUUGCUAGAUGUGCAUUUUAAAUCUAAUAUAACGGCAAUUGGCCAUUUUAAAAUUGAGAUUAUAUUCUAAAUAUUACUUAAUAUUUACCAAAUUUUUUAUUGUUUUGAUUAAUUGGCUUAAAGGAAUACCGAAGUGAUUAUAAUAAUGGAACACAU